RNAcentral lists this ribosomal RNA (408 nucleotides) under uncultured Thiobacillus sp. Its description in RNAcentral is "bacterial SSU rRNA". It matches the Rfam family "Bacterial small subunit ribosomal RNA", at positions 981 to 1382 of the family's 1533-position model. Lineage: Bacteria; Pseudomonadati; Pseudomonadota; Betaproteobacteria; Nitrosomonadales; Thiobacillaceae. The record is from RNAcentral.
UUGACAUGUCCGGAACUUGCCAGAGAUUGGGCUUUGGGUGCCCGGAAAAGGGGAAUCGGAACACAGGUGCUGCAUGGCUGUCGUCAGCUCGUGUCGUGAGAUGUUGGGUUAAGUCCCGCAACGAGCGCAACCCUUAUCAUUAGUUGCUACGCAAGGGCACUCUAAUGAGACUGCCGGUGACGAAACCGGAGGAAGGUGGGGAUGACGUCAAGUCCUCAUGGCCCUUAUGGUAGGGCUUCACACGUCAUACAAUGGUCGGUACAGAGGGUUGCCAAGCCGCGAGGCGGAGCCAAUCCCACAAAGCCGAUCGUAGUCCGGAUUGUUCUCUGCAACUCGAGAGCAUGAAGUCGGAAUCGCUAGUAAUCGCAGGUCAGCAUACUGCGGUGAAUUACCGGUUCCCGGGUUCUU